AAAAUAAAAAAACAAAAUAAAAAAAAGAAACCAAUUCCAGCUGCCCAAUCUUUAACCUGAGAACUGCAUGGGAGAUGGGGCAGCCAUAUCCAUAUUAAGGACUUCUGCUCAGCACAAGUUGCAGUAGAUUGUGAAUAUUUGUGUAAGGCUUGCUCACAUCAAAGAUUUCAGCAUUUUAAGGAAAAAGGAAAGGAUUGCAGCACAAAUCAUAUUCCAAGCACCCUGCUUUAGAUACUCUCA
RNAcentral lists this unclassified non-coding RNA (240 nucleotides) under Hevea brasiliensis (rubber tree). The record is from RNAcentral. Lineage: Eukaryota; Viridiplantae; Streptophyta; Magnoliopsida; Malpighiales; Euphorbiaceae.